ACAUGCAAGUCGAGCGAAGCGGAUGCAAGUGCUUGCACUUCUGACGUUAGCGGCGAACGGGUGAGUAACACGUAAGGAAUCUACCUAUAAGCGGGGGAUAACAUUCGGAAACGGGUGCUAAUACCGCAUAAUAUCUUCUUCCGCAUGGAAGAAGAUUGAAAGACGGCUCUGCUGUCACUUAUAGAUGACCUUGCGGUGCAUUAGUUAGUUGGUGGGGUAACGGCCUACCAAGACGAUGAUGCAUAGCCGACCUGAGAGGGUGAUCGGCCACAUUGGGACUGAGACACGGCCCAAACUCCUACGGGAGGCAGCAGUAGGGAAUCUUCCGCAAUGGGCGAAAGCCUGACGGAGCAAUGCCGCGUGAGUGAAGAAGGCCUUCGGGUCGUAAAACUCUGUUAUAAGAGAAGAACAAAUUGUAGAGUAACUGCUACAGUCUUGACGGUAUCUUAUCAGAAAGCCACGGCUAACUACGUGCCAGCAGCCGCGGUAAUACGUAGGUGGCAAGCGUUGUCCGGAUUUAUUGGGCGUAAAGGGAGCGCAGGUGGUUUCUUAAGUCUGAUGUGAAAGCCCACGGCUUAACCGUGGAGGGUCAUUGGAAACUGGGAAACUUGAGUACAGAAGAGGAAUGUGGAACUCCAUGUGUAGCGGUGGAAUGCGUAGAUAUAUGGAAGAACACCAGUGGCGAAGGCGACAUUCUGGUCUGUUACUGACACUGAGGCUCGAAAGCGUGGGGAGCAAACAGGAUUAGAUACCCUGGUAGUCCACGCCGUAAACGAUGAGUGCUAGGUGUUGGAGGGUUUCCGCCCUUCAGUGCCGCAGUUAACGCAUUAAGCACUCCGCCUGGGGAGUACGACCGCAAGGUUGAAACUCAAAGGAAUUGACGGGGACCCGCACAAGCGGUGGAGCAUGUGGUUAAUUCGAAGCAACGGCGAAGAAACCUUACAAGUCUUGAACAUCCUUUGACCAACUCUAGAAAUAAGGGCUUUCCUUUCGGGACAAAGUGACCAGGUGGUGCAUGGUUGUC
This 1024-nucleotide ribosomal RNA is filed under the name Aerococcus urinaeequi. RNAcentral's name for it is "bacterial SSU rRNA". It matches the Rfam family "Bacterial small subunit ribosomal RNA", at positions 53 to 1053 of the family's 1533-position model. Lineage: Bacteria; Bacillati; Bacillota; Bacilli; Lactobacillales; Aerococcaceae. The record is from RNAcentral.